UGGGGAAUAUUGCGCAAUGGGGGGAACCCUGACGCAGCCAUGCCGCGUGAAUGAAGAAGGCCUUCGGGUUGUAAAGUUCUUUCGGUAUUGAGGAAGGUUGAUGUGUUAAUAGCACAUCAAAUUGACGUUAAAUACAGAAGAAGCACCGGCUAACUCCGUGCCAGCAGCCGCGGUAAUACGGAGGGUGCGAGCGUUAAUCGGAAUAACUGGGCGUAAAGGGCACGCAGGCGGUUAUUUAAGUGAGGUGUGAAAGCCCUGGCUUAACCUAGGAAUUGCAUUUCAGACUGGGUAACUAGAGUACUUUAGGGAGGGGUAGAAUUCCACGUGUAGCGGUGAAAUGCGUAGAGAUGUGGAGGAAUACCGAAGGCGAAGGCAGCCCCUUGGGAAUGUACUGACGCUCAUGUGCGAAAGCGUGGGGAGCAAACAGGAUUAGAUACCCUGGUAGUCCACGCUGUAAACGCUGUCGAUUUGGGGGUUGGGGUUUAACUCUGGCGCCCGUAGCUAACGUGAUAAAUCGACCGCCUGGGGAGUACGGCCGCAAGGUUA
RNAcentral lists this ribosomal RNA (546 nucleotides) under uncultured bacterium. RNAcentral's name for it is "bacterial SSU rRNA". It matches the Rfam family "Bacterial small subunit ribosomal RNA", at positions 355 to 896 of the family's 1533-position model. The record is from RNAcentral.